AACGAACGCUGGCGGCAUGCCUAACACAUGCAAGUCGAACGAGACCUUCGGGUCUAGUGGCGCACGGGUGCGUAACGCGUGGGAACCUGCCCUUAGGUUCGGAAUAACUCCCCGAAAGGGGUGCUAAUACCGGAUAAUGUCUUCGGACCAAAGAUUUAUCGCCUUUGGAUGGGCCCGCGUUGGAUUAGCUAGUUGGUAGGGUAAAAGCCUACCAAGGCGACGAUGCAUAGUUGGUCUGAGAGGAUGAUCAGCCACACUGGGACUGAGACACGGCCCAGACUCCUACGGGAGGCAGCAGUGGGGAAUAUUGGACAAUGGGCGAAAGCCUGAUCCAGCAAUGCCGCGUGAGUGAUGAAGGCCUUAGGGUUGUAAAGCUCUUUUACCCGGGAUGAUAAUGACAGUACCGGGAGAAUAAGCUCCGGCUAACUCCGUG
RNAcentral lists this ribosomal RNA (433 nucleotides) under uncultured bacterium. RNAcentral describes it as "partial 16S ribosomal RNA". It matches the Rfam family "Bacterial small subunit ribosomal RNA", at positions 29 to 507 of the family's 1533-position model. The record is from RNAcentral.